RNAcentral lists this long non-coding RNA (1740 nucleotides) under Canis lupus familiaris (dog). RNAcentral's name for it is "lncRNA (ENSCAFG00845030353.1)". The record is from RNAcentral. Lineage: Eukaryota; Metazoa; Chordata; Mammalia; Carnivora; Canidae.
GUGACUUUCCCCCCCUAAGAGAUGAUAGAUUGCUUUUUUCCCCUCAGUGCAAACCAGAAAUUGAAGCAGACGGAGCAUGUCUUCCACAGUGUCAGGCAAGGGAGUUGGCUUGCGGAGAGUCAGCCCGGACAUACUGGGAGAGCAGGGAACCUGGAAGAACUCGAAUUCCCAACACCUUCACCCUCCGUGUAUAUGGUCCAGAUUUCUCCACCUGGCCACCAGUGCUGUGAUCAUCAGUUCCAUCCAGGAAAGCAACGUGGAGCCAGAGAGAGACAGGCAUCCUUAAAGUGGGCCAGGAAUGAGCUCAUUUUGGAACCAGAUGAGGGAAGUUUGCCUUCCUGGAAACAGCGGCACUUGGCGGACAGGCUGUCGGUGGAAGCGAUGACUCAGUUGAAAACGAAGCUGGGAAGGCACAAGACGACCUGCUGUUCCCAACACAGUCUUGCUCAUCCUCUAAGACCUGGAUAGAGUCUCACCGUUUCCAGCAGGCUCCCCGUCUCCCACAGCUCACACUGCCUCCAACCACCUCUGAACAUGCUGAAGCAGCCGAUUUCAUGCCCAGUUUUAUAUUUCCCUGUACCGAUCUUUAUUACUGAACAAAAACUUUCCAUCAAUCAUUCAAUCAGCAAGUGUGUCUUCCCCACAUAACAGUUCCUCCUGGCCUCAUGUAGUGCCCCACAGCAAGAGCCAAGCAGAAAUCACCUCAGGCCAGGCUGGCAGGUAAAUGAGUAUAACAGAAUAUACCCUGGUGGCAAGACACAAUUUGCAUAUGAGACAAGAAGGAAGAGUUGUCAUUUCCACAGAGAAAUCUGCUCCCUUCCGUUUUGCCUGACACACACGGGCCACUCCAUUUUUUAUUCUCUCACGUGGAUGGGGACAUUGGCAUAAUAUGUAUUUCGUUAUUGCCUUAGCUCUGCUGUAUGGAAAUACCAGCUCGAGUGCAAUGAUAAAUGGCAUUGGCGCUCAGUUUCUAUGACGAGGACACAGGGAGUGCUGGGGACUUGCAGUGAGGCAGAGGAUGCACGAACAUUGCUACCCGGUGAGCUUGGAGUGUCCAGGGUGCCACAGCAUUGGCUCUUCCGAGGGAAACCAGAAACCUCUGCAAGCCACAAGAGCUUGCAUGUGACCUGUGGACACUUUCCCGUGCCGGGGACAUGGGUGACAGAUGCCACCUGAUGGGGCUGUAUUACAGUCAGACAGCCCGGGGUGUAGGCAACCUCUGGGUUCUGACCUGGGAUGAAGUAUCUUUCUCAGGAGCAUGCAUGGAUGAGGUGCAAUCACUCACAUGUUGAUAUGGGAUAUUUUGCUUCUUAAAAGACACACACACACACACACACACACACACACACACACAGACAAGAAAAGCAGACUUAUUAUACCAGGGAUGGUAGCCCUUGUGAGCAUCUGGCUGUUUAUCUGGAACUGAUAAUUAUCCCCAUAUUUGUUUUCAUCCAGGAUGCUGUUUAUUUUACCCCAUUGGGUAGCAGAUUCUCCAUCUUCCUCCUCCUUGGAUAUGUGGGCCCCUUCUAUGCUUAAAAAAGCAUCCUUUCCCCCUUCCCAUCCAGCUCUAUUUUAAGCAGAUUCUGGAAGGAACCUCAGCUCCCUUACCCUGUGUGGAUAACAGGACCUCCACCCCACUCUGUGAUUUUGGGCAUUGGUAGAUCUGGCCUCUGAGAUCCAAGCUCCUCAGGCUUUAUCAACACCACAGUGUUCUCACACUGGUCCACUUGUAUCUCUCUG